This 496-nucleotide ribosomal RNA is filed under the name uncultured bacterium. Its description in RNAcentral is "partial 16S ribosomal RNA". It matches the Rfam family "Bacterial small subunit ribosomal RNA", at positions 28 to 506 of the family's 1533-position model. The record is from RNAcentral.
GAUGAACGCUGGCGGCGUGCCUAAUACAUGCAAGUCGAGCGAACAGACGAGGAGCUUGCUCCUCUGACGUUAGCGGCGGACGGGUGAGUAACACGUGGAUAACCUACCUAUAAGACUGGGAUAACUUCGGGAAGCCGGAGCUAAUACCGGAUAAUAUAUUGAACCGCGUGGUUCAAUAGUGAAAGACGGUUUUGCUGUCACUUAUAGAUGGAUCCGCGCCGCAUUAGCUAGUUGGUAAGGUAACGGCUUACCAAGGCAACGAUGCGUAGCCGACCUGAGAGGGUGAUCGGCCACACUGGAACUGAGACACGGUCCAGACUCCUACGGGAGGCAGCAGUAGGGAAUCUUCCGCAAUGGGCGAAAGCCUGACGGAGCAACGCCGCGUGAGUGAUGAAGGUCUUCGGAUCGUAAAACUCUGUUAUUAGGGAAGAACAAAUGUGUAAGUAACUAUGCACGUCUUGACGGUACCUAAUCAGAAAGCCACGGCUAACUACGU